Molecule: ribosomal RNA, 222 nt
Filed under: uncultured Glomeromycotina
Lineage: Eukaryota; Fungi; Glomeromycota
Description: partial 18S ribosomal RNA
Rfam family: Eukaryotic small subunit ribosomal RNA (bases 38-222)
Source: RNAcentral
GUAGGGUAAGUUGGUCAUGCCUUCGGUAUGUACUGGCUUUACUGAUUCCUCCUUCUUGACGAACCGUGAUGUCAUUAAUUUGGUGUUGCGGGAAAUCAGGACUGUUACUUUGAAAAUUAGAGUGUUUAAAGCAGGCUAACGCUUGAAUACAUUAGCAUGGAAUAAUGAAAUAGGACGUUAAUCCUAUUUUGUUGGUUUCUAGGAUCGACGUAAUGAUUAAUA